ACAGAACCCCACCCUAUGGGGGCAGGAACCCCCAAAACCCCACACUAUGGGAACAGCACCCCAAAGCUUCACCCUAUGGGUGCAGGAACCCCAAGGACCCCACACUAUGAGUGCAGAACCCCACAGCCCCACCCUAUGGGUGCAGAACCCCACGUUAUGGGAACAGAACCCCACAGACCCCCACCUAUGGGUACAGAACCCCAUGCUAUGGGGGCAGGAACCCCAAAAACCCCAUACUAUGGGAACAGAACCCCACAGCCCCACUCUAUGGGUGCAAAACUCCAUGCUAUGGGUG
This is a long non-coding RNA of Tympanuchus pallidicinctus (lesser prairie-chicken), 295 nucleotides long. RefSeq lists it as uncharacterized. The record is from RefSeq and is a predicted model, not a curated record. The transcript has 4 exons. Lineage: Eukaryota; Metazoa; Chordata; Aves; Galliformes; Phasianidae.